AUUGUUUUGUUCUGGUAAUACAGAGAGAAGAUAGAGCCUCUUGCUGCUUGUUCUGGAACAACAGUUUUGCUGUUAGAAUCAAGCAAGGACCAAAGACAGUAACUGAACUCAACCAAAGACUACAUGGGAGAAGAACCGAUUCUCCUGAGCACCACUGGUCUUUGAACACUGUCAUCCAAAGGCCCUGGCUUAUCUCCCUGGGCUAUUCUUUGG
This is a long non-coding RNA of Nothoprocta perdicaria, 213 nucleotides long. RefSeq lists it as uncharacterized. The record is from RefSeq and is a predicted model, not a curated record. The transcript is spliced from 2 exons. Lineage: Eukaryota; Metazoa; Chordata; Aves; Tinamiformes; Tinamidae.